UCACUAACAUGGCUUCCUCAAGUUUCCUAGUGUUGUUCCUUUUUGCUCUUUUUGCCAUCCCUCAAGGGCUUGCAAAUUAUGAAAACCCUCCUGUAUACACGCCACCCAUUGUGAAACCCCCAGUUUAUAAGCCACCGGUUGAGAAACCACCUGUAUACAAGCCCCCAGUGGAGAAACCUCCAGUUUACAAACCCCCUGUAGAGAAGCCACCAGUGUACAAACCACCGGUGGAGAAACCUCCAGUUUACAAGCCAC
This 255-nucleotide long non-coding RNA is filed under the name Trifolium pratense (red clover). RNAcentral describes it as "long non-coding RNA (TPRA_LNC005683)". Lineage: Eukaryota; Viridiplantae; Streptophyta; Magnoliopsida; Fabales; Fabaceae. The record is from RNAcentral.